Molecule: long non-coding RNA, 247 nt
Filed under: Scleropages formosus (Asian bonytongue)
Lineage: Eukaryota; Metazoa; Chordata; Actinopteri; Osteoglossiformes; Osteoglossidae
Description: lncRNA (ENSSFOG00015024893.1)
Source: RNAcentral
UGCAACGAGGUAGUGCAAUGAGGUAGGGGCAUUUACACCCCCAGUGUCAAGGCCAGCCUAAUACUCUCCCAAGGAGAUUGCGGUUUAUAAAAGGACUAAGAGAAAAAACUGAAAUGGCCUGAGCCCUGCGACACCCUGCUGAUAACUACAACACAGUGUCCUCCAAGGCAAUGCUGUGCAGGUGAUAGGAAUGGGACUGCUGCAAAUCAUAAUUUUCCAAGUAACAAGUUGUUGUACAUCACAGGUA